UGGGGAAUAUUGCACAAUGGGCGAAAGCCUGAUGCAGCCAUGCCGCGUGUGUGAAGAAGGCCUUCGGGUUGUAAAGCACUUUAGGCGAGGAGGAAAAGCGUACGGUUAAUAACCGUGCGCCGUGACGUUACUCGCAGAAUGAGCACCGGCUAACUCCGUGCCAGCAGCCGCGGUAAUACGGAGGGUGCAAGCGUUAAUCGGAAUUACUGGGCGUAAAGCGCGCGUAGGCGGUUUGAUAAGCGGAGUGUGAAAUCCCCGGGCUCAACCUGGGAACUGCAUUCCGAACUGUCGAGCUAGAGUAUGAGAGAGGGUGGCGGAAUUCCGAGUGUAGCGGUGAAAUGCGUAGAUAUUCGGAGGAACACCAGUGGCGAAGGCGGCCACCUGGAUCAAUACUGACGCUGAGGCGCGAAAGCGUGGGUAGCAAACAGG
Molecule: ribosomal RNA, 429 nt
Filed under: uncultured bacterium
Lineage: Bacteria
Description: bacterial SSU rRNA
Rfam family: Bacterial small subunit ribosomal RNA
Source: RNAcentral